AAGCGCAGUUAAAUGGCAAGAGUGCCGCGUUUUAUGCGAUAGACGCGGGUUCGAUUCCCGCCGUGUCUA
This 69-nucleotide transfer RNA is filed under the name Phytophthora nicotianae (black shank of tobacco agent). RNAcentral's name for it is "Phytophthora parasitica tRNA-Lys". RNAcentral also lists the same sequence under 1 other name. The record is from RNAcentral. Lineage: Eukaryota; Oomycota; Peronosporomycetes; Peronosporales; Peronosporaceae.